This 351-nucleotide ribosomal RNA is filed under the name uncultured Pelotomaculum sp. RNAcentral's name for it is "bacterial SSU rRNA". It matches the Rfam family "Bacterial small subunit ribosomal RNA", at positions 1034 to 1382 of the family's 1533-position model. Lineage: Bacteria; Bacillati; Bacillota; Clostridia; Eubacteriales; Desulfotomaculaceae. The record is from RNAcentral.
ACAGGUGGUGCAUGGUUGUCGUCAGGCUCGUGUCGUGAGAUGUUGGGUUAAGUCCCGCAACGAGCGCAACCCCUACGUUUAGUUGCUAACAGGUGAAGCUGAGCACUCUAGACGAACUGCCGUUGACAAAACGGAGGAAGGUGGGAUGACGUCAAAUCAUCAUGCCCCUUAUGUUCUGGGCUACACACGUGCUACAAUGGCCGGUACAGACGGAGGCGAAGCCGCGAGGCGGAGCAAAUCCGAAAAAGCCGGUCUCAGUUCGGAUUGCAGGCUGCAAUUCGCCUGCAUGAAGUCGGAAUCGCUAGUAAUCGCAGGUCAGCAUACUCGCGGUCGAAUACGUUCCCGGGCCUU